This 18-nucleotide small nuclear RNA is filed under the name Arabidopsis thaliana (thale cress). RNAcentral's name for it is "snRNA_08289". Lineage: Eukaryota; Viridiplantae; Streptophyta; Magnoliopsida; Brassicales; Brassicaceae. The record is from RNAcentral.
AGCGGGAAGUAGUCGCUG